RNAcentral lists this long non-coding RNA (192 nucleotides) under Fukomys damarensis (Damara mole-rat). RNAcentral's name for it is "lncRNA (ENSFDAG00000026912.1)". The record is from RNAcentral. Lineage: Eukaryota; Metazoa; Chordata; Mammalia; Rodentia; Bathyergidae.
GGCGGAAGGAGCGGGAAGCACAGGUGGGCGCCCUUCGAACAACCGAACAACGCGGCAGAGGGAAGGUUUGUUCCCUGCGAGACCGUGGGGAGCCCAGAGCUGGACAGAAAGACCUGAGCGUGAAAUGCGAGGCAGGAUGGAGAACUCAAACAUGAUUUCUGAACUGACUGACUGCACAAGAAACAAAAAUCC